ACUGCUCUUCUAGUACUUCUCAAGUACUUUGAGAAUGCUUUCACAAUUUUUAUAAGUCCUAUCAUGGAUCAGUCUAAAAUUAAUGAUUAUGCAUAAGGCAUAAAUCAUAUCAGGCUUGUUACAUUGAAUAUAUGGAUAAGUAAACUUUUUUACACCCAUUCAUAUGGAAUAUCUUCAACAUAAAAUUCAUGUAUGUAUACUGGAAAAAGCCUAACAUCCACUUACAUCUAUCCC
RNAcentral lists this long non-coding RNA (234 nucleotides) under Elaeis guineensis (African oil palm). RNAcentral describes it as "long non-coding RNA (EGUI_LNC056930)". The record is from RNAcentral. Lineage: Eukaryota; Viridiplantae; Streptophyta; Magnoliopsida; Arecales; Arecaceae.